CGCUAUCACUCCUACGGGAGGCAGCAGUGGGGAAUAUUGCACAAUGGGGGAAACCCUGAUGCAGCCAUGCCGCGUGUGUGAAGAAGGCCUUCGGGUUGUAAAGCACUUUCAGUAGGGAGGAAGGUAGUGUAGUUAACACCUGCAUUAUUUGACGUUACCUACAGAAGAAGCACCGGCUAACUCCGUGCCAGCAGCCGCGGUAAUACGGAGGGUGCGAGCGUUAAUCGGAAUUACUGGGCGUAAAGCGCAUGCAGGCGGCCUGUUAAGUCAGAUGUGAAAGCCCGGGGCUUAACCUCGGAAUUGCAUUUGAAACUGGUAGGCUAGAGUCUUGUAGAGGGGGUAGAAUUUCAGGUGUAGCGGUGAAAUGCGUAGAGAUCUGAAGGAAUACCAGUGGCGAAGGCGGCCCCCUGGACAAAGACUGACGCUCAGAUGCGAAAGCGUGGGGAGCAAACAGGAUUAGAUACCCUGGUAG
Molecule: ribosomal RNA, 472 nt
Filed under: uncultured bacterium
Lineage: Bacteria
Description: bacterial SSU rRNA
Rfam family: Bacterial small subunit ribosomal RNA
Source: RNAcentral